AGCGAACGCUGGCGGCAGGCCUAACACAUGCAAGUCGAACGAGCUCUUCGGAGUUAGUGGCGGACGGGUGAGUAACACGUGGGAACGUGCCUUUUGGUUCGGAAUAACUCAGGGAAACUUGUGCUAAUACCGAAUGUGCCCUUCGGGGGAAAGAUUUAUCGCCAUUAGAGCGGCCCGCGUCUGAUUAGCUAGUUGGUGAGGUAACGGCUCACCAAGGCGACGAUCAGUAGCUGGUCUGAGAGGAUGACCAGCCACACUGGGACUGAGACACGGCCCAGACUCCUACGGGAGGCAGCAGUGGGGAAUCUUGCGCAAUGGGCGAAAGCCUGACGAAGCCAUGCCGCGUGAAUGAUGAAGGUCUUAGGAUUGUAAAAUUCUUUCACCGGGGACGACAAUGACGGUACCCGGAGAAGAAGCCCCGGCUAACUUCGUG
Molecule: ribosomal RNA, 433 nt
Filed under: uncultured bacterium
Lineage: Bacteria
Description: partial 16S ribosomal RNA
Rfam family: Bacterial small subunit ribosomal RNA
Source: RNAcentral